RNAcentral lists this ribosomal RNA (303 nucleotides) under uncultured bacterium. RNAcentral describes it as "partial 16S ribosomal RNA". It matches the Rfam family "Bacterial small subunit ribosomal RNA", at positions 507 to 808 of the family's 1533-position model. The record is from RNAcentral.
AGCAGUCCCACGGGAAUACGUAGGGUGCAAGCGUUAAUCGGAAUUACUGGGCGUAAAGCGUGCGCAGGCGGUUAUAUAAGACAGAUGUGAAAUCCCCGGGCUCAACCUGGGAACUGCAUUUGUGACUGUAUAGCUAGAGUACGGCAGAGGGGGAUGGAAUUCCGCGUGUAGCAGUGAAAUGCGUAGAUAUGCGGAGGAACACCGAUGGCGAAGGCAAUCCCCUGGGCCUGUACUGACGCUCAUGCACGAAAGCGUGGGGAGCAAACAGGAUUAGAUACCCCCGUAGUCCCUGUCUCUUAUACA